Poecilia latipinna (sailfin molly) is the source of this 574-nucleotide long non-coding RNA. RefSeq lists it as uncharacterized. The record is from RefSeq and is a predicted model, not a curated record. NCBI's taxonomy places the organism in Eukaryota, Metazoa, Chordata, Actinopteri, Cyprinodontiformes, Poeciliidae. The transcript has 2 exons.
GCUCAUCUUUUAUUCUUUAUUCAGGUUGGAGAGCUGCAGGUUGUCAAAGAUCAGCUGUGAUUUUCUGGGCUCAGCUCUGAAGUCCAACAGCCUCCAUCUGACAGAACUGGACCUGGGAGAGAACAACCUGGAGGAUUCAGAUGUUCAGCAGCUGAAGGAUCUUGUAGAGACUUUAAAGAUCUGAUCUCUGUAGAGAAUGGUCUCUGUGUCCUGCUGAUCCUCAGAGGUUGAAGCUGCAGCAGUUUGAGUCAAAAGAAUCUCUGACUGGAUCAUGACGAUGACCUCUGGCCUCCAAGAUUUUCCUCCUGUUUAUUUUCUCAUGUCUGUCAUUUAGUGUCUGAUAUUGUUUGUCUCUUUGGAUUAAUAAAGAUCAAAUUCAAACUGGGCUCCAUUUAGAGGCUUCAUGGAGUUUUGAUCUGAACUGGAUUCAACUGGAAAGUUGAUCUUUUUUCUCUGAUUCAUUUUCAUCCUGGAACCAGAAAUGGUCUGAGAUGGAAACAUGGGAAUCAUUUCAGUUAAACUUUGAAUCAUAAAGACACUUCAAACCUCUUUUCUCUGCUGCUUCUUCUGCUGA